Molecule: long non-coding RNA, 1409 nt
Filed under: Actinidia chinensis (golden kiwifruit)
Lineage: Eukaryota; Viridiplantae; Streptophyta; Magnoliopsida; Ericales; Actinidiaceae
Description: long non-coding RNA (ACHI_LNC006307)
Source: RNAcentral
CUCCUAUAGCCGUUCAAUAUAAAAAGCUGAAAUCUGAAACUUAUUAUUUUCUACUUUCCAUAUGGGUGAUGGUGUAUUGGGGUGGUGGUGGUGGUAGUAUGCUGGUGGUAAAGGUGAAGAGAUGGCGGUUGUGAUUGUGGAGGGCAUAGAGGUGUGAUGUGGUGGCGGUAGAAGUUGGUGGUGGUGGCAUUGGUGCUGUGUAGGGGUAGUGGAGUGGAGGCAAUAUGGGACUUCGCUUCAAACCAUCCCUCACAUGCUUGGGGCGGCAACGGGCAAUUAAUUUUUAGUACUUAAUUUUAAUUUUUAAUUGUAUUCAAAAACAACACCUACUGUGCAUACUAUUAUGCUGUGGCAAAGGUGAAGAGAUAACUGUGGUGAUUGUGGAGGGCAUAGAAAAUGGUGUGAUGACGUGGUGGCGGUUUUAGAAUAGAAGUUGGUGGUGGUGGCAUUGGUGCUGUGUAGGGGUAGUGGAGUGGAGGCAAUAUGGACUUCGCUUCAAACAUCCCGCAAAUGCUUGGGGCGUGCAACGGGCAAUUCAUUUUAGUACUUAAUUUUAAUUUUAAUUGUAUUCAAAAACAACACCUACUGUGCAUACUAUUAUGCUGUGGCAAAGGUGAAGAGAUAACUGUGGUGAUUGUGGAGGGCAUAGAGGUGUGAUGCGGUGGAGGCAAAGGUUGGUGGUGGCGGUAGUGGGGUAGCGGUGGUGGUGGCAUUGGUGCUGUGGAGGGGUAGUGAGGUGGAGGCAAUAUGGGACUUCGCCUCAAACCUUUCCUCACAUGCCGUGGAGGGGUGGGGUGGGGUGGGGUGGGGGGUGGGGGGUUCUUACUGUCUUAUGCUAGUGGUAAAGGUGAAGAGACAGUGAUGGUGAUUGUGGAGGUAGAGGUUGGCGGUGGCUGUAGUGGGGUAUCAGUGGUGGUGGCAUUGGUGCUGGGGUAGUGGAGUGGAGGCAAUAUGGGACUUCGCUUCAAAGCUUCCCUCACAUGCUGGGGGUGGGGGGUUACUAUGCUGGCGGUAAAGGUGAAGAGAUGGCGGUGGUGAUUGUGGAGGGCAUAGAGUUGUGAUGCGGUGGAGGUAAAGGUUGGUGGUGGUGCCAUUGAUGCUGUGGAGGAUAGUGGAGUGGAGGCAAUAUGGGACUUCGCUUCAAACCUUCAGCAUGUGUUCUGUGGAGGGGUAGUGGAGUGGAGGCAAUAUAGGAGUUCGCUUCAAACUUCACAUGCAAGGUGCACUCAACAGCAUAUGCUGCCUACAGGCUGGAGCCACGCACCCACCAAUCCCUAAUAUUCCAAGUCUGUACCACGUUACACAUUUUUGAGUAGAAGUCAACCCCAAAAACUAGUUAUUGAGAUGAAGAUGCCCUCAUACUUGUAUAUUUCACAUUCUUUUUGUCCCCACACAACGUAGGAUUUCGC